AGAUCUCAUCCUCCCGCGAUAGUUGUUUGAAAACUCUGGCGCUAACCCGUCACUCGGAGCCUUGCAGGGCUAGGGUGUCGGAAGCCGCGGGAAACUGAGUCCUCCUCGGAUCGCGAACCACAGUCUCUCUCGGGCAGUUCCCGUCCCGGCGCCAUGGCAGCGCAGAAGAAGCGGCUUUCUGUGAAGGAGGCGUUUCAGCUGGCGCAGCAGCCGCACCAGAACCAGGCGAAGCUGGUGGUGGCGCUGAGCCGCACGUACGGCGCGAUGGAUGAUAAAACAGCUUUUCAGGAGGAGUUUAUUCAUUACCUUAAGUAUGCUAUGGUGGUAUAUAAGCGUGAACCUGCCGUGGAGAGGGUCAUGGACUUCACAGCCAAGUUUGUUACUUCAUUUCACCAGUCUGAUGAGGAAGAAGAGGAGGAAGAGAACGAUGGUGGCAUUUUAAAUUAUUUGUUUACUUUUCUCUUACAGUCUCAUGAAGCAAACAGCAGUGCAGUCAGAUUUAGAGUGUGCCAGCUCACUAAUAAACUACUUGGGAAUAUGCCAGAAAAUGCCCAAAUUGAUGAUGACUUAUUUGAUAAGAUUAAUGAAGCCAUGCUAAUUAGAUUGAAAGAUAAGAUUCCAAAUGUAAGAAUACAAGCAGUUUUGGCUCUUUCUCGACUCCAAGAUCCCAAGGACGAUGAUUGCCCAGUAGUUGAUGCAUAUGUUAAUGUGAUUGAAAAUGAUUCAAAUCCAGAAGUUAGACGUGCAGUGUUAUCUUGUAUUGCACCAUCAGCAAAGACUUUGUCAAAAAUUGUAGGACGUACAAAGGAUAUAAAGGAUACUGUCAGAAAGCUGGCUUAUCAGGUGUUAGCUGAAAAAGUUCAUAUGAGAGCUAUGUCUAUUGCUCAGAGAGUGCUGCUGCUUCAACAAGGUCUUAAUGACAGAUCAGAUGCUGUGAAACAAGCAGUGCAGAAGCAUCUUCUCCAAGGCUGGUUGCGUUUCACUGAAGGGAAUAUUCUAGAGUUUCUUCAUCGGUUGGAUGUGGAAAAUUCUUCUGAUGUAGCAGUCUCCGUUCUCCAUUCCUUAUUCUCAAUGACUCCUCUCAGUGAGCUGGUGGGAAUUUGUAAAAAUGAUGAUGGCAGGAAGUUGAUUCCAGUGGAAACAUUAACUCCUGAAAUUGCUCUGUACUGGUGCACCCUUUGUGAAUAUUUGAGAUCAAAGGGAGAUGAAGGUGAAGAGUUUUUAGAGCAGAUUUUGCCAGAGCCUGCAGUAUAUGCUGAGUACUUACUGAGUUACAUUCAGGGCUUCCCAGUAGUUAAUGAAGAGCAGAAAGGUGAUUUUACCUUCAUUGGAGAUUUGAUGAAAAGAGAAUUCAUAGGUCAGCAAUUAAUUCUAAUUAUGAAAUCUUUGGACACUAGUGAAGAAGGAGGAAGGAAACGACUGCUGGCUAUUUUGCAAGAGACUCUUAUUCUGCCUACAACCCCAAUAUCCUUAGUUUCUUUAAUUGUUGAGAGACUCCUCCACAUCAUCAGAGAUGAUAAUGAAAGGAUACAGAUUGUCACAGAAAUUAUCUCAGAGAUUCGUGCACCCAUUGUUAAUGUUGUUGUUGAUCCAUCUGAUACAAGAAAGAAAGAACUCAAGAUGGCUGAAAUAAAAGUUAAACUUAUUGAGGCUAAAGAAGCUUUGGAAAAUUGCAUUGCUGUACAAGAUUUUGAUCAGGCAUCAAAAUUAAAAGAAGAAAUAAAAAUAUUGGAAGAUGCCAAAAUAAACCUGCUAAAAGAGACUGAGCAACUUGAAAUUAAAGAAGUCCACACAGAAAAGAACGAUGCGGAAACAUUACAGAAGUGUCUUGUUUUGUGUUACGAAUUGUUGAAACAGAUGUCCACUUCAACUGGAAUCACUGCAACCAUGAAUGGGAUCAUUGAAUCUUUGAUUCUUCCUGGAAUAAUAAGUGUUCAUCCUAUAGUAAGAAACUUGGCUGUUUUGUGUUUGGGAUGCUGUGGACUACAGAAUCGGGAUUUUGCCAGUAAACACUUUAUGCUGUUCUUACAGGUUUUGCAAAUCGAUGAUGUCACAAUAAAAAUAAGUGCUCUAAAGGCAAUCAUUGACCAAUUGAUGAUGUUUGGAAUUGAGCCAUUUAAAACCCAGAAAGUUAAGGGCGUUCAAUGUGAAGGUGAAGAAAUAAACUGUCAUGAUAAGCAAGAAGAAAAUGAUGCUGGAGAGACUGACCCAGCUAAGAGUGUUCUGAAACUCCUCUCCGACUUCUUAGACAGCGAGGUAUCUGAACUCAGGACAGGAGCUGCAGAAGGACUAGCCAAGCUGAUGUUUUCUGGGCUUUUGGUCAGCAGCAGGAUUCUUUCUCGUCUUAUUUUGUUAUGGUAUAAUCCUGUGACUGAAGAGGAUGUUCGACUUCGACAUUGCCUAGGAGUGUUUUUCCCCAUGUUUGCUUAUGCAAACAGGACUAAUCAGGAGUGCUUUGAAGAAGCCUUUAUUCCAACUGUGCAAACACUGGCCAAUGCCCCAGUGUCAUCUCCUUUAGCUGAAGUAGAUGUCACAAAUGUUGUUGAAUUGCUUGUUGAUCUGACAAGACCAAGUAGAUUAAAUCCUAAGGCAAAGAAUUCUCAGGAUUAUCAGGCCUUAACAGUACAUGACAACUUGGCUAUAAAAAUUUGCAAUGAGAUCUUAACAAGUCCAUGCUCACCAGAAAAUCGGGUUUAUACAAAAGCUUUGAGUUUGGUCGAACUCAGUAGCAAUGUUACAAAAGAUCUCCUGCUUCUAUUGGAUGAGAUUCUGGAGCAUGUAACAGAUAGGACGUGUCUGAGAGCCUUGGAGAAGAUUAAGAGUCAGUUAGGAAAGGGAGGUAAAGAAUCUGACCCAGGUGUAGUAACACAGGAUGUCAACACAACCACAGCAGUUCUUCAAAAUGAAAACGGAGCUUUUACUUUGUAGGAUUCACACUUUUGGAAUGGUGAUUCAUUAUAACCAUUCAGUAGCUGUUAAUAGGACUGUAUUUUUUGUAUUUUUGUAUGAUUCCAUGUAUGGAAGAAUAUAUGACUCCUGUGAGGGAUGGAAAAGGAACUCAAACAUCAAAAUCUACACAAGGAAAAUCUAAAAGAGGAUGUAGAAAAGCGCCAGUUUCAUCUAAGACCAACAGGAGACGCCAGAUUGCUGGGCCAGACUCUGAAAGUGAUCAUGAACCACCAUCAGAAAUGAAGAUGAGAUUACCCAGACGAGCCAAAACAGCUGCGCUACAGAAAAGUAAACUUAACCUUGCAGAGUUCCUUAAUGAAGAUACAAGUUAAGAGAGCUGAUAAGGAUGAAGUCCUUUGAAGUUGUGCUUAUAACUUUGCUUUAAUAGUUACUAUGAUAAAGUCAGAAAGCCUGCUCUGUUUCAGGAAACAUGAAUGAUGCCACAUGACUUCAGACUCCUUAUUUACAUUAAACAAUGGCUUUGAGAAACUGCAUCAUUCCUAUACUCAGUAUUUAUUUGAUAACUUUACCACAAUGGGUAAUUUCUCUUCCUAAAUUUUUCUAUGUAGGAACACUAUUUUAUGAAUGAAUUCUAGAUUAGGGUGCUGCCCACACACACAUUAAUCAUGAAAGAUACAUUGGUUUUUGGCACAUCAAAACAUACUCUACCUUGAAUAAUAAAUAAUACUAAUGGGAAAUAAAAGUCCUAGGAAGUAAUCUUUAUGUACUGAUUUAUGAGCACAGUUUCUUCACUGUUCAUUUCAGUUAUCUUAGGAAAUUGUCAUUGCUGUGAAACAUAAAAGUAGUCCCUUUUCUUUCUGCCAUACCCAAGGAAACACCUUUUAUUUGGAUAAAAAUGUCCUAACAUGAAAUUUUUAUUGUGCUUCUGCUUCAUUAAAUUUAUUUAUCAGAGGCCAUUUAACAGUUGUUCUGAGAUGGAAUGAAAGGUAUUGCUGGCUUUUAAAACCAAAAGGCUAUUCAGUCUAUACACAUAACAUGUGCUUUAUAGAAAUGAGAAAAGGAGUCAGAGUUACAAAGCAAGAAUGCUUAUUAAGCAAAAGGAAUGAUAUGGUAAUGAUACAAACCAAUGAAAAACACUGUUGUCCAUCUUUUGGCUCUAUGUCUUUUCCUGUGCUUCAUAUUUCUUAUUGAUAUAGUUCUUGUUAAAUCCUUGUCUUAAAUUCAUGGGGAACAGGAAGUGAGCAGGGCUAGAAUGGCAUGGUGUAAGGGAAAGCCACUAGGAAUGAACUAUCAUCUCAUUUAGACAUGUGCAGAGUAGCCAAAAGGAAAGAAGCUAUGAUCAUGUAGACACUACUGAAGUUUGCUUUUCUCUGACUUUAAGCACCAAUCCAUUAGUAGCAGUUUUACUACUCAGAUUUUAGACAAUAGCUGUGGCUGCAGGUAUACCUAGCAUCAUUAGCAUUACUAAGGAAUAUUGUCCUACUUCUGCAAGACACCCCUGUAAACUUUGGAACAAACUGCUAAAAUACAAUACAACCAAUAGGUUUAAAAAACAUAA
Mus musculus (house mouse) is the source of this 4468-nucleotide RNA transcript. It is a transcript of the gene named non-SMC condensin I complex, subunit G, with no coding region annotated. The record is from RefSeq and is marked validated. The transcript has 21 exons. Lineage: Eukaryota; Metazoa; Chordata; Mammalia; Rodentia; Muridae.